RNAcentral lists this ribosomal RNA (356 nucleotides) under Lobatostoma manteri. Its description in RNAcentral is "eukaryotic LSU rRNA". It matches the Rfam family "Eukaryotic large subunit ribosomal RNA", at positions 674 to 925 of the family's 3401-position model. Lineage: Eukaryota; Metazoa; Platyhelminthes; Trematoda; Aspidogastridae. The record is from RNAcentral.
UAUAAAUGCUACGCGAAUCAUUGGUAGUCACGAGACCCAAAGGCGCAGUGAAAGUGAUGGCCAGACAUAGUAGAUAUCUUUGUGUGUCUAUUGUGUCCCGGCUGAGGUGAGAUCCUGUUGGUUCUCGUGAAUGGUACUGCCAAGCUGCUGAGCAAUAGGCGCAUCACCUGCCCGUCCCAUGGUGUGACCAUGCUGCCUCGGUAGUGUGCGUCAUCGCAGACGGAGCUAGAGCGUACAUGUUGAGACCCGAAAGAUGGUGAACUAUGCUUGCGCAGCUUGAAGCCAGAGGAAACUCUGGUGGAGGACCGCAGCGAUUCUGACGURCAAAUCGAUCGUCUGACGUGAGUAUAGUGGCG